AUGGCCUUAUUCUAUCAUGUCCACCGUUUUUGUCAAACUUGGAUAAUCAGUCUCUUCUACCACGGUUAGGAAUAAUCCUUCACUCGCAUUCCAGAUCCCAUUUUUUAACUUUAAACUAACAUUCCUACUACCUUCUUCCUCAACAUAACAAACGUAGUUAUAAGUACAUCCAAUAGCAUCAAAACGCAUCACGAUAUCGAAACUUUGCAGCAGCAUCAGCAAAAACACCACCACCACAUGAAGGAAUAAUCCGACAAAAUAAUUAAGUUUCGGACCGAGACAGGUUCGACGCGAGCCGUUUCGACCCGUAACGUUUCGACGCGUACCAUUUCAUCCAGUAUCGUUUGUCCGUUUCGACGCGAACAGUAAAAUAAGCAGGAAUCCAUCCAUCUCCACCCACCAGAUGUAUGUUCGACCCGAACUGUUUCUGUAAAAUGACAAUUUAAUUUUAUCCAUCUUCAAACCCUAUCAGCCAUCUUCCAUGCAGCAACAACAUCAUCCAUCUUCAAACUCCCAGCCAUGAUCCAACCGGAACCCUCAUAAGACGUCUUCAAACGCCCACACAAAAGGAAGCUGCUUGGACU
This 584-nucleotide long non-coding RNA is filed under the name Helianthus annuus (common sunflower). RNAcentral describes it as "hypothetical non coding rna". Lineage: Eukaryota; Viridiplantae; Streptophyta; Magnoliopsida; Asterales; Asteraceae. The record is from RNAcentral.